GGGGCCAUAGCUCAGCUGGGAGAGCGCUUGCAUGGCAUGCAAGAGGUCGUGGGCUCGAAUCCCAUCAGCUCCA
Molecule: transfer RNA, 73 nt
Filed under: Planctomycetales bacterium
Lineage: Bacteria; Pseudomonadati; Planctomycetota; Planctomycetia; Planctomycetales
Description: tRNA-Ala
Rfam family: tRNA
About the family: Transfer RNA (tRNA) molecules are approximately 80 nucleotides in length. Their secondary structure includes four short double-helical elements and three loops (D, anti-codon, and T loops).
Source: RNAcentral